AUUGAACGCUGGCGGCAGGCCUAACACAUGCAAGUCGAACGAGUGGCGGACGGGUGAGUAAUGUCUGGGAAACUGCCCGAUGGAGGGGGGUAACUCCUGGAAACGGUAGCUAAUACCGCAUACCAUCGGAUGUGCCCAGAUGGGAUUAGCUAGUAGGUGGGGUAACGGCUCACCUAGGCGACGAUCCCUAGCUGGUCUGAGAGGAUGACCAGCCACACGGGAACUGAGAGACGGUCAAGACUCCUACGGGAGGCAGCAGUGGGGAAUAUGGCACAAUGGGAGGAAGCCUGAUGCAGCCAUGCCGCGUGUAUGAAGAAGGCCGUCGGGUUGUAAAGUACUUUCAGCGAGGAGGCGUUACUAGCAGAAGAAGCACCGGCUAACUCCGUGCCAGAAGCCGCGGUAAUAC
RNAcentral lists this ribosomal RNA (406 nucleotides) under uncultured bacterium. RNAcentral's name for it is "partial 16S ribosomal RNA". It matches the Rfam family "Bacterial small subunit ribosomal RNA", at positions 29 to 526 of the family's 1533-position model. The record is from RNAcentral.